AGAACGUAAUGAACUGGACAAGAGCUACCUGCAGUCGAUAAUAGAUGAGACGUGUGAUCAGUUAACCUCCACUCAUGAGAGCAGAGAGUGGCCCAGUCAUACUGAUGUACUGAGAGCGUUUGCUGUGUUUGAUCAGGAGGGGCAUGGGAGUAUACCAGUACAACAGCUGAAGAGGUUUCUGUUACAAGCACAGCUGGGGUUUCAAGAAGAAGAGCUGGAGAAACUUAUCAGAGACACUUGUAAGAUUGAUAAUGAUAACCAGAUCAGUUACAAAGUGGUGAAGAGUUCACUGAGUGUUGGCUGACAGUGUUGGGUUCUAUUGCUAGUGAUCCUGACAGUUGUCAUAAAGUUGUAUUUAUUAGAGUUGGACUCCAUGGCAUGAAUUCUCAAGUUGAUAAAGGGUUUUUGAUAAAUUGUGGUCAAUAGACAGAUCAUCAGCAUUGAUGCUGUCACUGCUAACAAAAAAGAAAUCACUCAUAAAUGCAUGAAAAGUUGCCUUUUUGAUGAAUGUGAAGACAUGAUCAACAACACAGUCCUUGAGCUAAUACUAUACAAUGGAGACAUAGGGGCAGCAGCCCACCCACGAAAGAGAGGGAUCAGCUAGAAGAUGCCAUUUGUUCCAUUGCUUUCUUGUAUGGUUUAGUGUCAAGAGGACAAGUUGUUUGAAAUUUUGUGUUUUCAUUCUCCCAACCAACAUAAUUAAAAGGGUUAUUCACUACAGUUAAUAAAAAUUAUUCAAUGGUACUACUACUAAUGUGUUUUAAUUGUACUACACCAUAUAUGCAUGUUUGGUUAGUGAGUAUAGUAUAUAUAAUAUUAGUUUAUAGUCUAAUAUUCUGUUACUUUUUUAUUUUUGAUUCAUCUUUUUUCUUUCGUGGAACUCCUUUUCUUCUGAA
This is a long non-coding RNA of Amphimedon queenslandica, 896 nucleotides long. RefSeq lists it as uncharacterized. The record is from RefSeq and is a predicted model, not a curated record. The transcript is spliced from 5 exons. Lineage: Eukaryota; Metazoa; Porifera; Demospongiae; Haplosclerida; Niphatidae.